This 408-nucleotide ribosomal RNA is filed under the name Cynarina sp. SLR-1995. Its description in RNAcentral is "partial 16S ribosomal RNA". It matches the Rfam family "Bacterial large subunit ribosomal RNA", at positions 1872 to 2474 of the family's 2925-position model. The record is from RNAcentral. Lineage: Eukaryota; Metazoa; Cnidaria; Anthozoa; Scleractinia; Lobophylliidae.
GGAUCUAAAAAAGUUUGUUUUGCUUAUCAAUAAAGACAAUUAAAUGGCUGCGGUAACACUAACUGUGAAAAUGUAGCGUAAUAAAUUGUUAAUUAAUUGUUGACCGGUAUGAAUGGUGUCACGAAAGUUUCUCUGUCUUAAAAAAAUACUUAAUGAAAUUGAAUUUGUAGUGAAGAUGCUACAUUAAAAUUGUAAGACGAGAAGUCCCCAUGGAACUUUACUGAGGGCUUAGGGGUUUCUAUAAGCGGGACAGUUUUGUUGGGGCGACAGUUUUUUAAAAAGUAACAAAAACGAACUAUGGCGUAGCUUCACCCUGAAAAACUUUUUAAGGGACAUUUUUGGUGUGUUUUAUGAACCGUUGUUUGGAAUGAAAAAAAUAACGAAAACAAAUAAAAGUUACCCUGGGAU